Molecule: ribosomal RNA, 495 nt
Filed under: uncultured bacterium
Lineage: Bacteria
Description: partial 16S ribosomal RNA
Rfam family: Bacterial small subunit ribosomal RNA
Source: RNAcentral
GAUGAACGCUGGCGGCGUGCCUAAUACAUGCAAGUCGAGCGAACGGACGAGAAGCUUGCUUCUCUGAUGUUAGCGGCGGACGGGUGAGUAACACGUGGAUAACCUACCUAUAAGACUGGGACAACUUCGGGAAACCGGAGCUAAUACCGGAUAAUAUUUUGAACCGCAUGGUUCAAAAGUGAAAGACGGUCUUGCUGUCACUUAUAGAUGGAUCCGCGCUGCAUUAGCUAGUUGGUAAGGUAACGGCUUACCAAGGCAACGAUGCAUAGCCGACCUGAGAGGGUGAUCGGCCACAGUGGAAGUGAGACACGGUCCAGACUCCUAGGGGAGGCAGCAGUAGGGAAUUCUCCGAAAGGGGCGAAAGUCUGACGGAGACACGACGCGUGAGUGAUGAAGGUUUUCGGAUCGUAACACUCUGUUAUUAGGAAAGAAAAUAUGUGUAAGUAACUGUGCACAUCGUGACGGUACAAAAUCAGAAAGCCACGGAUAACCACG